RNAcentral lists this ribosomal RNA (497 nucleotides) under uncultured bacterium. RNAcentral describes it as "partial 16S ribosomal RNA". It matches the Rfam family "Bacterial small subunit ribosomal RNA", at positions 28 to 507 of the family's 1533-position model. The record is from RNAcentral.
GAUGAACGCUGGCGGCGUGCCUAAUACAUGCAAGUCGAGCGAACAGACGAGGAGCUUGCUCCUCUGACGUUAGCGGCGGACGGGUGAGUAACACGUGGAUAACCUACCUAUAAGACUGGGAUAACUUCGGGAAACCGGAGCUAAUACCGGAUAAUAUAUUGAACCGCAUGGUUCAAUAGUGAAAGACGGUUUUGCUGUCACUUAUAGCUGGAUCCGCGCCGCAUUAGCUAGUUGGUAAGGUAACGGCUUACCAAGGCAACGAUGCGUAGCCGACCUGAGAGGGUGAUCGGCCACACUGGAACUGAGACACGGUCCAUACUCCUACGGGAGGCAGCAGUAGGGAAUCUUCCGCAAUGGGCGAAAGCCUGACGGAGCAACGCCGCGUGAGUGAUGAAGGUCUUCGGAUCGUAAAACUCUGUUAUUAGGGAAGAACAAAUGUGUAAGUAACUAUGCACGUCUUGACGGUACCUAAUCAGAAAGCCACGGCUAACUACGUG